CCAAGGAGUCUAGCAUGUGCGCGAGUCAUUGGGACUCUUGACGAAACCUAAAGGCGCAAUGAAAGUGAAGGUUCGCCACGCGCGAACCGAGGGAGGAUGGACGGUCGAUCGUGGCCGUCCCGCACUCCCUGGGCGUCUCGUUCUCAUCGCGAGAAGAGGCGCACCAAGAGCGUACACGCUGGGACCCGAAAGAUGGUGAACUAUGCCUGGUCAGGACGAAGUCAGGGGAAACCCUGAUGGAGGUCCGUAGCGAUUCUGACGUGCAAAUCGAUCGUCGGAACUGGGUAUAGGGGCGAAAGACUAAUCGAACCAUCUAGUAGCUGGUUCCCUCCGAAGUUUCCCUCAGGAUAGCUGGCGCUCGCUUCUCGCGAGUCUCAUUCGGUAAAGCGAAUGAUUAGAGGCAUUGGGGUCGAAACGGCCUCAACCUAUUCUCAAACUUUAAAUGGGUGAGAUCUCCGGCUUGCUUGAACUGUGAAGCCGCGAGAUAUCGGAUCAGAGUGCCAAGUGGGCCACUUUUGGUAAGCAGAACUGGCGCUGUGGGAUGAACCAACGCCGAGUUAAAGCGCCUAAAUCGACGCUUAUGGGAUACCAUGAAAGGCGUUGGUAACUUAAGACAGCAGGACGGUGKCCAUGGAAGUCGGAAUCCGCCAAGGAGUGUGUAACAACUCACCUGCCGAAGUUACUAGCCCUGAAAAUGGAUGGCGCUGAAGCGUCGUGCUUAUACUCUGCCGUCAGCGGCAUGUGAGACGGUCCUUAAGAGGUCGUCAUGAAGCCCUGACGAGUAGGAGGGUCGCGGCGGUGAGCGCAGAAGGACCAGGCGCGAGCCAGUCUGGAGCCGCCGUCGGUGCAGAUCUUGGUGGUAGUAGCAAAUACUCCAGCGAGGCCCUGGAGGACUGACGUGGAGAAGGGUUUCGUGUGAACAGCCGUUGCACACGAGUCAGUCGAUCCUAAGCCAUAGGCGAAAGCCGAUGUCGAUGCGGUGUAUCUUUCGGUGUCUGUAUGCGCGCGGCUUUUUCUACUGCUGCUGCUGCUGUUAGGGCGGAGAGACUCACACCCGUCGGGCGAAAGGGAAUCCGGUUCCUAUUCCGGAACCCGGCAGCGGAACCGUUAUUAAGUCGUGCCCUCAUUCAGAGAGUUCGUCGGGGCAACCCAAAAGGACCUGGAAACGCCGCCGGGAGAUCCGGGAAGAGUUUUCUUUUCUGCAUAAGCGCUCGAGUUCCAUGGAAUCCUCUAGCAGGGAGAUAUGGUUUGGAGCGCGAAGAGCACCGCAGUUGCGGCGGUGUCCGGAUCUUCCCCUCGGACCUUGAAAAUCCAGGAGAGGGCCACGUGGAGGCGUCGCGCCGGUUCGUACCCAUAUCCGCAGCAG
Molecule: ribosomal RNA, 1366 nt
Filed under: Anomala zumbadoi
Lineage: Eukaryota; Metazoa; Arthropoda; Insecta; Coleoptera; Scarabaeidae
Description: eukaryotic LSU rRNA
Rfam family: Eukaryotic large subunit ribosomal RNA
Source: RNAcentral